AGGAGAUGUAUGUUAGAAUUAUACAGGCUUUC
This 32-nucleotide transfer RNA is filed under the name Bavayia kopeto. RNAcentral's name for it is "partial tRNA-Ala". The record is from RNAcentral. Lineage: Eukaryota; Metazoa; Chordata; Lepidosauria; Squamata; Diplodactylidae.